RNAcentral lists this ribosomal RNA (373 nucleotides) under uncultured bacterium. RNAcentral describes it as "bacterial SSU rRNA". It matches the Rfam family "Bacterial small subunit ribosomal RNA", at positions 525 to 896 of the family's 1533-position model. The record is from RNAcentral.
ACAGGGGAUGCAAGUGUUAUCCGGAAUUAUUGGGCGUAAAGCGUCUGCAGGUUGAUAUUUAAGUCUUUUGUUAAACCUCCGGGCUCAACCCGGAAUCUGCAAAGGAAACUAUAUAUCUUGAGUAUGGUAGGGGUAAAGGGAAUUUCCAGUGGAGCGGUGAAAUGCGUAGAUAUUGGAAAGAACACCAACAGCGAAGGCACUUUACUGGGCCAGUACUGACACUCAGAGACGAAAGCUAGGGGAGCAAACAGGAUUAGAUACCCUGGUAGUCCUAGCUGUAAACGAUGGAUACUAGAUGUUGUGUACCUUUGGGUAUGCAGUGUCGUAGCUAACGCGUUAAGUAUCCCGCCUGGGAAGUAUGCUCGCAAGAGUG